UCUUUAUAAUUAUAUGUUGUGAUUCAUGGUGAUUUUCUGUAGUCAGUGCUGAUGAUGUGUCUAUUUUAGGUUCUGGAAGAGUUCACUCUGCCGUCUCUCCUCCGCUGUGAUUCUCUCAAUUCCGAGACUCGUUUUUCAUCCCUCCUUCUGCUCGUCACACAGAGCUCCACCCAGAAACACCCCAGCAUCCUGUUCUUCAACUGUGCACCUGCCAGGGCGGAGCUCAUUAGAGAUGAAAUACGGCGUGUGGUGUCAGAUUACACAGACAGACAGAAAAGGUUGUCUCAGACGGGCAGUAUGGAUUAUCAGGACAUUCCCAGCCACCCCAGAGCACAAGCACCGUUCUCUCCCCCACCGUACGUUACAGCGAAUGGAGUGCCGAAUGGGGAGUCUGAUAAGGCGUUCUUGAAGGCGCAGCAGGAGGUGGUGAGUUUCAGUGUGUAACAAAUUACGCAACCCAUAAGUCCUGUUUGCUGGAAGCUCACACCUUUAGCUCAC
This is a long non-coding RNA of Pygocentrus nattereri (red-bellied piranha), 498 nucleotides long. The record is from Ensembl. Lineage: Eukaryota; Metazoa; Chordata; Actinopteri; Characiformes; Serrasalmidae.